This 71-nucleotide transfer RNA is filed under the name Ictidomys tridecemlineatus (thirteen-lined ground squirrel). Its description in RNAcentral is "Spermophilus tridecemlineatus (thirteen-lined ground squirrel) tRNA". It matches the Rfam family "tRNA". Rfam says of the family: Transfer RNA (tRNA) molecules are approximately 80 nucleotides in length. Their secondary structure includes four short double-helical elements and three loops (D, anti-codon, and T loops). Lineage: Eukaryota; Metazoa; Chordata; Mammalia; Rodentia; Sciuridae. The record is from Rfam by way of RNAcentral.
GGGGUUAUGGCUCAGUAGUAGAGUGCUCACCUAGCACGUGUGAGGCUCUGGGUUCAAUCCUAAGCGCCCCA